Molecule: transfer RNA, 74 nt
Filed under: Streptococcus pneumoniae
Lineage: Bacteria; Bacillati; Bacillota; Bacilli; Lactobacillales; Streptococcaceae
Also listed under: 1 other name
Description: tRNA-Asn(gtt)
Rfam family: tRNA
About the family: Transfer RNA (tRNA) molecules are approximately 80 nucleotides in length. Their secondary structure includes four short double-helical elements and three loops (D, anti-codon, and T loops).
Source: RNAcentral
UCCGCCAUAGCUCAGUUGGUAGUAGCGUAUGACUGUUAAUCAUGAUGUCGUAGGUUCGAGUCCUACUGGCGGAG